Molecule: ribosomal RNA, 527 nt
Filed under: uncultured bacterium
Lineage: Bacteria
Description: bacterial SSU rRNA
Rfam family: Bacterial small subunit ribosomal RNA
Source: RNAcentral
UCGGGAAUUUUGGGCAAUGGGCGAAAGCCUGACCCAGCAACGCCGCGUGAAGGAUGAAAUCCUUCGGGAUGUAAACUUCGCAAGAACGGGAAGAAUAAGUAAGAGCUAACAUCUCUUACGAUGACGGUACUGUUUGUAAGCUCCGGCUAACUCCGUGCCAGCAGCCGCGGUAAUACGGGGGGAGCAAGCGUUGUUCGGAUUUACUGGGCGUAAAGGGCGCGUAGGCGGCCACCGCAAGUCGACUGUGAAAUCUCUGGGCUUAACCCAGAACGGUCAGCCGAUACUGCGGGGCUAGAGUGCAGAAGGGGCAACUGGAAUUCUCGGUGUAGCGGUGAAAUGCGUAGAUAUCGAGAGGAACACCUGCGGCGAAGGCGGGUUGCUGGGCUGACACUGACGCUGAGGCGCGAAAGCUAGGGGAGCGAACGGGAUUAGAUACCCCGGUAGUCCUAGCCUUAAACGAUGAAUGCUUGGUGUCUGGGGUUUUAUAGUCCCCGGGUGCCGUCGCUAACGCUUUUAGCAUUCCGCCU